CGGGUCCACAGCCGGGCGCGGCGUUCGCUCGCGGUGCGGACGCGGGCCGGUCGCGGCACGGCGAGCCGCUCCGCGCGGCCGAGCGCGG
RNAcentral lists this transfer RNA (88 nucleotides) under Streptomyces spectabilis. RNAcentral's name for it is "tRNA-Arg". The record is from RNAcentral. Lineage: Bacteria; Bacillati; Actinomycetota; Actinomycetes; Kitasatosporales; Streptomycetaceae.